RNAcentral lists this long non-coding RNA (290 nucleotides) under Homo sapiens (human). RNAcentral's name for it is "non-protein coding lnc-CTNNA3-9:1". Lineage: Eukaryota; Metazoa; Chordata; Mammalia; Primates; Hominidae. The record is from RNAcentral.
CAUGCUUGUUUCCCUUCUCCUUCCCCCGUGAUUCUGUGUCAAAGGGAAGCUCCCACAUGACCUCACUUCUUUCCUAUUUGUUGGAAAUAUUCUACAGUUAAAUAGUAAGAACCUCAGCAAAUCCAUAACCAUGCUAGCAAAAGAUUAUGGCCCUGGGUUCACUGUGUAUUUUGGCAUUAAGCCCACUGUGGUUGUAUGGUUUCAAAAUAAUGAAGGAAGCCCUGAUUGAUCGGAGACAAGAGUUUUCUGAUAGAAGGAGUUUCCCAGUGAUGGAAAAAAUCACCCAAGGA